RNAcentral lists this long non-coding RNA (700 nucleotides) under Brassica rapa (field mustard). Its description in RNAcentral is "long non-coding RNA (BRAP_LNC004230)". The record is from RNAcentral. Lineage: Eukaryota; Viridiplantae; Streptophyta; Magnoliopsida; Brassicales; Brassicaceae.
AAAUUACAAAACAUAUGAUUAGAUAUAGGUGUCGGCUAAACAUAGAGUUAAAUCUUUAACAAAUCGCAAUACAUAUGAUUAAAACGGUUGUUUAGCCAGAUAUACAUACAAAGAUCCCUUGAGAAAUAAAACAAAAAAAAUGGUGUGCAAGUGAUCAGCGGAGGAGGAGUCGGGUGGGGAGAUGAUCCUUUCUUCUUGGCUUUGUUAUUCAACCUGCAAAAAUCAUGACCAUGAAAGAAAACAAAAUUAAAACAGAAAAUGAUACAAAUAUUAUAUAAACUGCACAUACACAGACACAGACCUAUACAUACAUAGAUACAUAUAUGUAUGUAUAGUUAUUUAGACAAGACCCAAUGAAACUAGAGGAAGAGACAAAGAAAGAGAAGAAACAAAAACACAGAAGAUUUACUCGUGUGCUACUCCAUUAAUACAAAUGAUUGAAGCUUUAAAGUGGAGACUGAGAGUACCCAUAAGACAAAACCGGAGGAAGCUUUAAGCUUUUGUCUUUAUCUGAAACCGGAAAAUGAGAUCCCAGAGCAAGAAAAAACGGAUGAGCCCAAACAUAUAGCUACAAAGCUUCUUUUUUUUUUUGCAAAGAUGGAAACAAAAAUCAAAGUUUUUAUUUUUGCUGUGAAUUUGUAGAGACUAAAGAGAGAGGCGAAGUGAACAAAGGGAAGGAAUAAACAUCGAAAAGAGCCUU